AGAUAAAUCAAAACCGAACGAGCUAACCUAACCUUUUCUAUAUUCCUCGCUACGUGAAAGUCAUCCACUCACUUUAUACCUCCUCCUUGCUUAGGAUAUAAAAGAGGAUAUAAAAGAGUAAAUGGUAACUGAGAAAGAUUCAAAUUCGAUUAAAUAAGUAACAUGAGCUAUUAUAUACAAUUCCUUAAAACAUGUAUAAUACAUUUCUUACCCAUAUAUUUAUUAUUAACACGCAAUGACCAACCGAUCUAUUGUAUAUAACCUAUCGACUGUAAGAAACGUCCCACUUUUACAUUCAAUUAAUAUGUAAUUAAUAUACAAAUCCUACGAGGUCGUAUGUCAACAAAUCAGUCAUUCCAUCGGAACGCGUCCAAAUAUAAAUCGAGCAAAGUAUUUCAAACGAUUAAACAAGAAUAAUAGCCACUAUCUCCUCGUUUAUUCCAUUGAAUGAAAUUGUGGGCGCGAUUAAAGGACUCGGAUUCGAGCGUAACGCGCGCGCGCGCGCGCGCGAUCAUGCGUGGGACGGUUGCGCACACUCUUUCUACAUCUGCCCCUGAAUUAUCAGCUACAUUAAACAGAUAGGGCGAUGAAUCGUUGCUGUUGCUGAUACUUCUGCCCCACAACAGCAUUGACCUUCUUGAUUUAAUCGCGUGCUUUUUGCCAGACAUGAAGGCGAGGCCGUCGUGGUCUUAAGCUGGAUUUACACGUGCGGUAAUUUAUGUAUUGUGCAGAGUUGCAAAAAAAAAAAUUGCAUCCGGGAUGGAGCAGAGACAAGAAUACUUUGCUCAUUCUGACACUUUUGGCUAAUAUGUAUAUUUACUUGGAUGAGUGAAUAUUUC
Apis florea (little honeybee) is the source of this 839-nucleotide long non-coding RNA. NCBI's taxonomy places the organism in Eukaryota, Metazoa, Arthropoda, Insecta, Hymenoptera, Apidae. The record is from RefSeq and is a predicted model, not a curated record.